This 2799-nucleotide ribosomal RNA is filed under the name Triticum aestivum (bread wheat). RNAcentral's name for it is "partial small subunit ribosomal RNA". The record is from RNAcentral. Lineage: Eukaryota; Viridiplantae; Streptophyta; Magnoliopsida; Poales; Poaceae.
AUGAGGCCUAGUUCCACCUUCGCAAGAGACCCGUGGUCAAUUGGGUCUUGCCCGCCAGGACCUGCUAUGACCGUUACCCGAUCUAUUGAGGCCUGGUGGACGGCGGCUCCUGUUUCCACACUAAGCAGGGUUUGGUUUGAUCAAAAGAAGCCACGUAUUUUGAGGUUGGAUGGAUUAACAGUUAGGCAAGAAAUCAUUGGGGCGCUGAGAUUAAGCCACGAGUGUUGCACAUUGCUGAUUAGGCGCAUUCGGCAGAUUGAUAGGAAGAACUCAAAGGACGCAUCAGGGAAUGUUUGGCGUAAAUUCAUGGACCCUGAUUUUGCGGUUAGUACAAUUUCAUCAUGGGGUGUGUACAAUAAGAAAACCUUCUGCUUGGGUGGUCUAGAUCCACGAUAUGUUCUAUCGAUACAGGAAGAAUUCUUGUCAGAUGAUACUAUUGGAGCUUGCAGGAUGAUUGUGGUGCCAACUUUCCUACAUGAUGGUUGGGUGCAUGUUGGGGAUCGGGAAAAUAUCAGGUGCUACGGGAGGGUGUUUGUUCAUGAAGAAGCUAGUGGGCGGGUGUUGCAUGGCUUUUUCAAUUGCGUAAAUCAUUUCUUCACCGACUGGGGCCAAGAUUCCGGAAUUUCAUCUGUUUUCUUGGCAAGGAAUCAGGACGGUGGUAAACUAAUGAGAAAUCUGACAAAGGACGUCUUGGUGGACUAUCGGAAAAUGUGCUUGUACGAGGUUAUGCGACUGAAAGACAAUAAUUGCAAGGUGGCUGAGGGACACACUGGAAUCCAUCAAGACUUCUUUCCAUCUCAUUUGACCCGUGCACUAUCUGAAAGGGAGUGUGUUACUGCGGACCUUGGCUGCCCGUUGUCGACGUUCCCCCAAUCAUACCUCGUUCUACCCCUCCCCAAAGGCGCUGUAGCCAGGAUGGACCGCCCCCGCCGGGCCAUGUUCUGGAAAGGGGCGAGUGAGUGCUCCGGGGGAGACUGCCAGGUUGCCUGGCAUGAGGCUUGUCGUCUCCGCACAGAGGGGGGGCUUGGAUUGAUCGGCAUUGAGGUCCAGAACACAUGUCUCUUGCUGAAGAUGGUCCAUAAAAUCUUCAGUGGCUUUCGUACCCCCUGGACUACCUGGGUGCGCCGUUGGUACUUGGGUGACCGUCCCGCGGCUUCGACACCCUCUUGGAAGGUGUUCGCCUCCCUGGUCCCCCUCUAUCAUUCCCUAACAUCUGUAAGGAUUGGGGACGGGGUGGGCACGUCCAUCUGGCAUGACAAUUGGACCUCUCUCGGGGCCUUGGCGGCCGCUCUUCCCGCCGCGUACACACACUGUCUCCACCCUAGCGCAACCUUGGAGGAUUUUGGGCGGCUCGGCCCCAAUGCAAUUCCUAUGCAUGAUCGUCUGUCUAGGUCUGCUGAGUUGGAGCUCCACUUACUUCGGUCUGCGCUUGCUCGCGUGCGUUUCUCUUCGACAAUUGAUGAGCGGACACUCGCUUGGGGGGGGGGGUGUCUACAGUUCAAGGCAUGUGCGGAGUACCAUAUGAUCAAAAGCUCUGGCUGCGGGCUCCCCCUGCACGACUUAAACUGGGACGGCUUUGUGCCCCUCAAAGUCAAGGUGUUCGCCUGGGUUCUACGGCAUGGCAACACCCGCACGAGGGCCUUCCUUCAUCGAAUCGGGUUCCUUGACUAUGACGAUUGCCUUUCUGCCCCGGGCGGUCGGAAACUAUCACACACCUCUUCUUGGAAUGCCCCCGUUUGCGUCAGAUGUGGGCGUGUAUCCUCGACCGUCGUCACUUGCCAGUUGACUGCACGGUGGAAAGAGUUUGGGCCACCUUCUCUGCUUGUCAUCCUUCUUGGAGCCGUCCUCUCCUCAGCACGGCGAUGUGCGCUGUCCUUUGGGUGGUCUGGAAGUCCAGGAACCGGAUGUUGGUUGGUUGGUGUGAACCGCGUGCCGGCACGGCACGGCCCGUAUAGUAAUCGUGGCCUGGCGGGCCGUGCCGGGCCAGGCACGAUUAUAAUGGGCCGGGCCGGCCCGUUUGGCCAGCCACGGGGGUGCGGUGGUGCUCCUCGCCGGUGUAGCAACGCACCUCUUCCGUACAGGCAGUUACCUCUGGCUUACGAGCCUGCGAGGUACUGCUCGUGCACUCCGGCCGCCAAGGCGCCACUCUGGAUCUCUUGGAGUGAUCUUAACCCUGGCAGACGGUACCUAGCUUGCGCCAAAGGGAGGGGUGCUGGGUGCGGUUUCUUCGAGUGGGCCGACCCGGAGCCUAACGCCUUCAUGAACCAGCUGCUACUGGAUCUCCGCAACGCAGUGUGGGCUCUGGAGGCACAGAAUCGUCUCUUGAAUCGGAGCGUGCAUGGGGCGAGGACGCAAGUGCUCGAAGGAAUGGUAGUCCAGGAGGCGACGAGCGCUCAGGUGCAACAGAGGGGUGGAGAAAAUAUGAUGAUUCAUAGCCAAGAUUCUGAGAUGCUUCGCAAAGCUGUGGCAGAUCUCGAAGCUCAGAGGAAGUUCAUGGUGGGGUGCGCUCUGUCAUUAGUGAUGCUCUUUGCAUUCGGGCUUGUUUUCGCCCCAUGGCAUCCGUCACGAUGUCGGGCGGAUGUGGUGGGUUUCCUGUCAAGGGCGACAUCACGAGAGGAACUCCCGACCCCGUGCGGCCACCGCCGGGCCGCACCGGGCGGCCACAUCCCGAUCUCCCCUCGACUCCCCGUGCACCCCCUCCCUCCGCCGCCGACGGCAACGUCGCUGGGCGAAGGCCCCGUGGCGCGGCGGCGGCGGACCUUCUCUGGCGUCCUGAGAUCUGAGGCGGCGGCGGCCUGA